Non-coding RNA from Trichocladium antarcticum, 82 nucleotides. Lineage: Eukaryota; Fungi; Ascomycota; Sordariomycetes; Sordariales; Chaetomiaceae. The record is from the annotation of a GenBank genome assembly.
GCCCCUGUAGCACAAUGGUCGGGCGUUAGACUUCUACAUGGUAGUAAUCUAAAGGUUGCGGGUUCGAGUCCCGCCAGGGGUU